Long non-coding RNA from Alligator mississippiensis (American alligator), 7488 nucleotides. RefSeq lists it as uncharacterized. The transcript is spliced from 2 exons. The record is from RefSeq and is a predicted model, not a curated record. Lineage: Eukaryota; Metazoa; Chordata; Crocodylia; Alligatoridae.
UCCAGGAGUGUGGCCGGCUGAUCGAGACCUCUGUUAAACCCACCCAGGAUGGUUGCAGCACAGUGAGAUUGCCACUAACUCAUUAUAGCAUUGCUGCUUCGCUGUGCAUGUGCAACAGCUUCCGGGUUGCGGAGACAGCAGGCCGGGCAGGGAAGUAAUGCUAGCGCCUUUGCAGAAAGGGCAGGAAGGGGCUUGUAUGCAGGAGCUCUGAAAAAGUGCAAGUCUCAAAAAUAUGCAUGCAGCUGAUUGGACUGUCUGCACAAUGGAGGUUUCUGGUUGGCUGUGUCCGGAUUAUAAACACAGCAGACAGUGGGAAGAGCAGAGGGGAGGAGGUAUUUCCCAGCUUGAGGGAGAGGACUGGGACAGUCUCGCCCCCCAGGGAGGGGACUGAAAGCCUGCUGCAGGAGCCAACACCCCAGGAAAGACAGACAGCCCGUGGUGCUCAGUAAGGAGCCGAGUCCCCUAUCUUGGAGAGGAGCUGUGCAAACUCAGGACUCGGGUGCCCUGGGAAAGAGGAGGGGCAAAGGAAAGAGUCUGGCCCAGCGGGAAUCCGUGCUUGCAGCUGGGUCGCAGCCUGCAGGGACAGGGGACCUGCCAGUAAAGGGAGGCAGUCUCUAUUGAGCAUCCCUAGUUUCACAAGGAAAGGGAAUGUGGGGAGGCAUUUAACCUCAUAGGGCGUGUGUAGAUGGCACGGGAGUUAAUGUAGACUGCCCAAAAAUGUUAACGUGGCUUUUUUUUUUUUGGUGCAGUUCAUUUUUGUUUGCAUGACAUGGCAUUUGUGUUUGCACGAACGGUGCUUUUGAGCAAGUUAAGUCCCUGUAUGUCAUUCUCCGCAGACAUCGGUAGAGGCAGUCAAAUACCAGUUUACCCCCAGGAAUGUCUUUCCUAAUGUAUUACAGCAGGAGGGGCAUGUGAGCCCCCCGGGCUCCCCAGUCCCCCCACUCUCAUUGGGCAGUCCUGACUGUCUGGGAGUCUCCCCUGAUCGUGGUCACGGUCACCCCCAAAUCCCUGUCACUUGCACCCGCCUAUGCUCGUUCGGUCUGGGCUGGUCUCUCUCUCCAUCAGUACAUGAUCGCAAGGACCCCACACCGAUCCCGAAAGACAAGCCGCGCAGGUGAAUCCUUCCCUCCCAUCCGUUCCUUUCCCUUUCCAUUGCACCAUGGACAUUUUUAUUAAUAUAGUGGCUUAAUAACUGCCUAUAUCAUAAGAGUGUUAGGUGGGUGGGCGUUUGUUACUGCCCGGUUGAUAGGCGAUUCCUGCAUAUAUCUAUAUUGGCGGUCUUCUGUCCCUAUGUUGGUGGUCUUCUGACUUUUGGGGGAGGGGGUUGGACUAUAUUUCCCAGCAUUCCCAAGCUCAUUGAGCUUCUUACAGUUUCCAAUGGGAAAGCCUCCAGUUCCCUGGCCAGGUGCACCAUCAAUCUGUUUGUGUAGUGUCACAUAUGGCUUUUGGAGCUGUGUUGUGAAUUGUUGUGAAUUGUUUUAUAAAUGUUCUUGGAAUCUUUGUUUCAAAAUGUGACUUGCUAUUUGGCUUGGUUUCCCCCCGUCCCACACCCCUUGCAACCCCUGACCAUCCUGUCUUCCCCCACUCCCAUCCACAACAUCACAUGCCCCUGUAGACAGACACAGAUUUUAAAGUGUGAAAAAAUAUAAAUCUAUAUUUUGGAAUAAAGCACUCCCUAGGGGUUGUUCUCAGCAGUGUAUCCUGCAAGAUAAUCGUGCACAAGGCCCGUCUGACCAGCCUCUCCUUGAGGAUAUCUCCUCGGUCCCUGUGCUGCUGCCCCACAUCUCUGUUGUCUUUCCACCACCUAUCAUGCUUCUUGUUCCCACGGGUCCUUGAAAAUCUCUCCUUCGUUCUUACAGAUGUUGUGCAUCACACAGGCUGUCACAAUGAAGGGCAUUAGAUUUUCUUCAUCCAUGUUGAGCUGGCACGUAAGCGCCCUCCAUCAUCCUUUCAGUCGGCCAAACACAUUCCACCGCCAUCCUGCAACUGCUGAGGCGGUAGUUAAAAACCAGCUUCUGCAGGUCGGUGAUCUUCCCUCCAUAAGGCUUCGUGAGCCUGGGCUUUAGGGGUAGGCAGCAUCCAUUAAUAUGAUGGGGGGAUGGUGACACCACAAAUCACUCUCUCCUCCAUGCCAGGUGCAUAGUGUCCUUUCUCCCCGAGCUCAGCCAGAGGGGAGUUUCUGAAUACACUCAUCAUGAGUGCUGCUGGCCCACCCUGUAAAAAUGUUUGUGAACCAGACCCGGUGGUCCACCAUGGCUUGCAGGAUCAUGGAGGCAUGGCCUGUCCUGUUUGUGUAAAGCCUCCCACUCCCUGCAGGGCACAGCACUGGGAGGUGAGUGCUGUCUAAAGCCCCCACACAGCUCAGGAACCCCUUCUCAUUAAAGCCAUCUAUGACUUGCUGUGGAUUCACCAGGUGGAUAAAUUUGUUAGAAGCCAUGUUCCUAAUCUGCUGGCAUACUUCACGGGUCACCUGCCCCACCAUGCAGGCAGCCAUGCCAAACUGCUUGGCAAUGUAGCAGAGGCUGGCUGAGCUGGCCAGUUUAACGAUGGCCAUUGUGACCCUCUGGUCUGGUGGGAUGUCCCGACGCAUGUUUGUGUCCAGCCUCAUGAUGUGCGGCCCGAGCAUGCAGACAAUAUGGUAAAACAUCUCCCUUUUCAUUCAAAACAUCUCCAGCCACUGCUGGUCAUUCCAAGUGGUCAGGACGAUUCAGUCCCACCAGUCCUAGCUGCUCUCGUGGGCCCACACCAUGCAGAUCCUGCUGGUCCUCCUCAGGUCUCUCAACAGAGCCCGGUCAGAUUCCACUUGUUCGCUUCACUCCCCUGAGUACCUGUUGUAUCUUCUUAAUGUUGUUAAAGCAGAAACACAACAACUUGCCACUGAGCAGUGUAGUGUCCUACUCCUACUGAAGACUUCCUGCAGUAAUCUCCAGUAAAACAGGGUUUCCAGUACUGCGUCCAACUCCUCGUGAUCCAUGUCCAACAUCAUGUCUCGUAUUUCAUCCUCGUUCUCCAUUUUGCCCCUCUCCCAGCAGUGGCCUCUCACCUGUCUGCACCAAGCAGGGUGGUGUGUGUGGUUGGUCUGGAGCUCGGUGUAGCUGCUUUUUCAACCCUUCACCCCAGUGCCCUGAGGCAUUGUGCCUUUUGCACGAGUUUUGCAGCCACUGGCGUUGUGACGUAAUCAAGCUUGCAAAUAAAAACAAAGUUUUGCCUACUCUUCUCCUGGCUAUUCAAAGCAUUUGCCACUUUAUGGGAGAACAUAAGGCUGUAAUAAAAUUAUUUUGCACAAGCAGGCAGUUAUUGAUGAUUUUUGCAACAUUUUUGAUCAUUGAGCAGCCAUCCCAAAGUACAAAGGCCUUAUUAACCCAUCACCAGGUCUUUUUUGUUGUUAACUGGGGGUGCUUCAUCACCUUUGGGGGUUUUGAUACUCACAGAUAAUGACUUCAAAAUCUUUGGAAUUUUCCCAGACUCUCCUGCAAGCACAGCCCGAGUAUAAAGGCACCCCUCCAAAAUUUGCCAGCCCCUUUCACAAAUCACUUGUGCUUGUGCUGUUGAUCACCCACCAACUGCUUCACCAUGUCUUAGAAAGCCAAGGCCAGCAGUAUGAUGGAUCCAAUAGCCCAGGAGGCUGAUACCUCCAAUGCCCAUGGCCCCAACUGGAGCCAGGAAGAACUGGAGACUUAAUUGACAUUUGGUCAGAGCAAAGGAUCGUAAACAGGCUGGAGAAUAGGAGAAAUAAACCUGUUUAUGUUGGGAUACCAAAAGGCAUGCAGGUGCGAGGGCACAACCAUGACUGGACCCAGGUCUGGUGCAAGAUCAAGUCUCUGAGACCAGCAUUUUACAGAGCCAAAGACAUGAACUCUCAUUCUGGGGAAGGUAACGCACUUGCCCCCUUCUAUAACAAGCUGUCUGUCAUUCUCUCCAGGGAUGCGGGUGACAACCCGGCUUUGCAGAUAUUCAGCACCGGUGUUGGCCUGGAGGUGGAAGUGGAGGAAGAACCAUUGAUCACCAUAGAUUUAUUGCCAAUUAGCCCCCACUAUUCCACAGAGUAGUGUGGAUGAUGAAUUGGAGGAGGUGGGGGUCAGGAAGAAACAUCAUCUACUGGACCUGGGAAGUCUCUUGUAAUGCGUCUCUUGCCACUGCCAGGCAACUCCCAGGUUCAUGCUGGUUGGGUUUGGGGAGCGGUGGGGGGAGAAAUUCAUGUGUUGCUAUAGGUUAGUCGCCAUGUUCUUUCAGUGGUGGUGCAGGCCCACCAGGUUCAAUAGUUAAUUAUUUGCUUUAAUUAAUUUGUUGCAGCUAGCAUGGGCAGUGACAUUCAGGGUCCUGUUCCCGGAGCACCACAGUGACUCAUGGCCAUUGGGAAUGGCACCCUGCUCACACUUCAGCAGAGCACUGAGGAGAUUUUCACAGCAAGCAGAGAUGUCCACGAAACCUCACUCGAGGUUUUGGUGGAGUCCUCGUAGCCAGAGCAGAAAGCGAAGCUGCCUGGUGGGACGAACUUCAUUAUUUGAUGCGUAAGGACCAUGCCAUCCUCAAGAAAGUGCAAGGCACCAUGUGGAAUUUAAAAGACAUAGUUGACAAGUCCAGUCCUGACUUCCAAAGUUAAAAUGACAAGUUCAAGGAGGCCUUGCAGAAAUACCUAAAAAAUGAACAGUUACAAUGCCCAAAAGGGAAAAGUCAGUCUGUUUGUCUUGCCUCUAUGCAAGAUGAGCCAGUUCCCCCUAACUCUAUGGGUCACAGCAGGGCCGUAUGAUUGCCAGCAGGACCAGGAGGGUGCCACUGCAUUUCAGGGAGACAGGGGUGGUUCGGGGUCAUGGUGGGGUGAAGGCAAAGAAGCCCAAGUAAGUGCUGCAAUACUCUGUUGCAAACAAUAAAAGCUCAUAGUUUCCUGGUUUCCUGCAUCUGCCUCCAUAACCCCACUUCCUCAUGCUCUUUCUUGGCUCACCCAACACAACGCUUCCUGGUGUGUGUGUAACACCUGAUCAAGGCCUUUUGGUGAGGUGGGGGAGGGGCGGCCUGGGGUUUCCAGCUUUGCUUGCACACGACACAAUCUCCGUCACCCCCCAGCAGCCUGGCUUGCUUUUUUGCAAGCCACCAUCAACCAGCCACCUGCAGCUUAGUUUCUCCUCUGAAUGAUGGAGCCUUUCUUCUUGGUUGCUGGCCUUUGCCAAGACCUCUUUGCCCCACUUGCUCUGCCUGCUUGCCGCCCUUCUUCUACCGCUUCUUGCCUGCUUCCCGCCAUUCUUCUUGGGAGGCGUGGCAGAAGCUGAGACUUGUUCGCAGUUUGGUGCAAGCAACACCUCUCUGUUCCUUUCUCUCAAAAAUUCUUCUUGGUUGCUGGCCUCUUCUUCUGCCAACUUGCCCUCUGCCUUUCACCUCAGCAAGCAAGCAGACACGUCCCGACCUGACCUCUCUCCACUGCACACUUGUACCUUUGCAAUUGGUGCUGGCCACAAAAGCCUUCUUCUUGUUUGCUGGCAAAGACCGCUCGCUCCCUCUUGCCCCAUGGCUGGGGGCUUGACUCUUAGCUCAGGCAAACUCCCUCCCUAGCUCCCUCCUGUCCCAUGGGUGGGGGUCUUAGCACCCCAGGGUGGUGCUCCGGCACAGUCCCUCCCUAGCAACUCCUUCAUGGUUACUGGACAUGUCUCAGAAAAUGCACUUCUGCGCUGCAGGAAAUCACUAAAUAAAAUCCCCAUAGACUACUGUAGCAUGUGUGCCUUUAAAAAAUAAUUCUUGCUACAGUAGUCUAUGCACCUACCUCUUUGUUGCAGCCUUGUAGCUUGGGAGUCAUUGCUGUUGGCCACAAAGCCUUCUUCUUCUAGGUUGCUGGCCAAGACCUCUUUGUCCCACUUGCCCCUCUUCGCCCCACUUGCCCACUUCUCCUUGGGAGCCAGUGGCAGAAGCUAUCCCUGCAGUGGCAGAGGUCUCGGGUCAGAGGCGGUGCCUUCUUCAGCACAUAAAGUUUGAAUUUCUCCUCUGAAUUGUGAAGGCCUUCUUAGUCCUUCUUCUUGGUUGCUGGCCAAGACCUCCGCGUUCUGGGCAGCAGGCUCUUUGGCCCGCUUGGGACUUUGGAAUUGUUGCUGGGGGAAAGAUUCUUCCUGGGCAGGGAAAACACUGCCUGCAUCUCGCCCUUCUCAGGACUACUGCAGUGGCAGAAGCUGAGGCCCUUUGGCCCGAGCAUCCAGGCCCACUUCACAGUCUUCUCCCCCUCCCACCCGUUACUGGCCAUGUCCUGCAUCAGUACAAGCAUUUCAUUCAUUGCUGCAGAGGGCUUGGAUCACAGGGGGGACCUUCCACUAAGGAAGCUGUGGCUUGAGUUUCUCAUCUGAAUUGCGGAGGCUUCUUGGUAGCUUUGCCUGCUCUCUGCCUUAGACCUCUUGCCCUCCUCCUGGUAAGCUUUGACUACUGCAGUGGCAGAAGCUGAGGCUUCUUCACUGGCUUUGGCCCUAGCAUGAGCUUGAUUUGCACAAGUUCUGUAGGCCAACUUCAUAUAGUCUUCUUGACCUGCACCAUUAUUGUUACUGGCCAUGUACCUACCACCAAAUUUGGAUUGGGGUAUAUACAUAAGAUAACAUACACUAUAGGUAGCGUGGGGGCCCAAAGAUUUAACAGGGAGUAGAAAAAAAGUAUUAUUUCCUAAGCUUUGUGCCCAGCAAAGAUUUCAAAGGUACAAUGCAAUGGAAAGGGAGUAGCAUGGCCCAACUCAGCCAGCCAGCUGAGUCGAGCCAUCCAUCUGGACCUGAGGGGGUCCCAACCGUGCCUGGGACCCCCCACCUAAGGGGGUCCCCUCUGCAACCAUGGCUUCCCCCUCACCUCCAUGUUCCUGCUGUGUGGGACAUAGUAACCAGGAAGGUGGUGCAGGACACCUUCGUCCACCCCUCUCCCCCACCCACGCAUGUUGGGGCUCCCUCCACUCCUCCCAAAGCUUUGUGCCCUGCAAAGAUUGCAAGGGUACAAUGCAAUGGAGAGUAACACCCCACCCCUCUCCACCACCCUACCUGAGGGGGGCCCUUUGCAACCAUGCCUAGGGCCCCCCACAGUUAGGGGGCCCCUCCCUAACUAAGCUGUAUGGGUGGGUAGGUUGUUUCUUUCUUGCAAGAAAAUGCUGGCUGGCUGCAUGCAGACUAGCACUGGCCAAGCAUUUGGCUUCCCUCCAUCCAAAAGCAGUUCACCCUGCAACUUUCCAGUAAUGAACUCUAUAAAAGUUGCAGGGUCAUCAGUAACCAGCAGGAAGUGCCAGUAACCAGGCUGGCUGGCUGGCUGGCUACCUGCCUCCCUCCCUCCAUCCGUUCCUUCCUCUUGCCCUCCCACUAUACAGCCCUCCAUCCAUCCAUAUCUAUUACAGAAGGGACCAUAAUUAUGAAUUGGUGUUUUAUGCUAUGCACGGCUGUAGUGUAAAUUGUAUUGUAAAUUGUAUUGUGAUUUCUCAAUGGAAUUGGUUGCAAUUCAAUUUUUUGUUAAAAAAAAUAAAGAAGAGGAAGAAAAAAAUCU